UACGUAGGGGGCAAGCGUUGUCCGGAAUUAUUGGGCGUAAAGCGCGCGCAGGCGGUUUCUUAAGUCUGGUGUGAAAGCCCGCAGCUCAACUGCGGAGGGGCACUGGAAACUGGGAAGCUUGAGUGUAGGAGAGGAGAGCGGAAUUCCACGUGUAGCGGUGAAAUGCGUAGAUAUGUGGAGGACCACCCGUGGCGAAAGCGGCUCUCUGGCCUAUAACUGACGCUGAGGCGCGAAAGCGUGGGGAGCGAACAGG
This 253-nucleotide ribosomal RNA is filed under the name uncultured bacterium. RNAcentral describes it as "partial 16S ribosomal RNA". It matches the Rfam family "Bacterial small subunit ribosomal RNA", at positions 524 to 776 of the family's 1533-position model. The record is from RNAcentral.